AAUACUGAAAAAGACAUCGGACGUUCUUUCAAGUGAGAUGGCGCAUCCGUACAUAUACAAGGACAACUCGUUUGAAAACUCAACUUCAGAUAUUUAUGAACUGCACCCGGUGGAGCCAGCAGGAGCCAUAUUGUCGUCUGCAGAGGACAUGGUGCGUUAUUUACAGUUUGUCUUGAACAAUGUGAAUACAACGACUGGGGACAAGCUGAUAGACCCUAAGCUCUUCGGUGAAGCUUUCUCAGCUGUCAUUCCUACGGAUGAGAUGGACACCGUGUCUAAACCCACAUUCCCCGUAUCUGACGUGCAAGUUGGGUAUGGAUACGCAUGGUUCGUCAGUAAUUAUGAUGAGAGCCAUUCAUGCUUGACGAGUAGACUUCUUUUUUGAGGCUGAAUGGCCAUCUACCGCAAUACAGAGUUAUACCGAUUUAUCGUAAAUUCCAUUAGUUCAAGCUAACUACGUGUGGGAAGUGACAGUCGGUUCCAUUUGAGUCACAGAGCGUUGUGGCACAGUGGAGGAUUUUGGUCUUACAUAACGCUAGUCUGGUUGUUUCCGGAAGAAAAUAUUGGGAUAUUUAUUAGUACAAAUGGAGGUAUGUUAGAGGAUUACCAGUACACAUCCUUGACUACAACUAUGUACUACCUGGCAGACUUAUUACUGGACAAAGAACCAUGGCUGAACUCUUCAACUGCCUGCUCCUUUCCCGAACCCUGGAAAGACGAGACAGAUUCGAGGUUGACGGAAAUUUCUGCUUUUUUACCGGACAUUUCCGAGUACACCGGAAUCUACGGAAAUGAGUUUCAACCAGAGUUCAUAUUAACUGUGAAUGGAAGUUCACAAACGCAGCUGAACUUCGAAUCAGGAAGACUCGGGGGAAAUCUCUAUUCAACCCAAGACAAAGAUCGAUUCUUGAUGGAGAUAACAUACCCGUGGGAACUUUACGUUCCGCUGAUGGACCAUAACAACGUUACGACAAAAACAAACGUCACCUUCGUUCGCGAAGUUGGAACAGUGACAUCAAUGAACAUAAACAUUGGCACCAAUAUAACAUUUACAAAAGGUGUUUCCAUGUUAGACGUUAUUUCCCGAAGCACUAACGGAAGUAGGAGGUUAUUUAGCGCAGCUUGGUUGUUAUAUCUGUUAGUUUCUUGCGCUGUGUGGCAACUGUAAUAUGGCGUUUGGCCAAUAUAUAAAUCAGCACAUUUAAAAACACAAACUUUUUAUUGAAAUCAUCUGAAACGAUACAACACGUGGUCAUAAUUUGAAGAAUCUAUUUUUUUAGCGUUUGAAAUAUAAAGUAGAAUUCAAGUGUGCAGAAACAGCUCUGAAUAAUGAAAGUCAAGGAAUGCGACCUCAUUUCCUUCAGUAAAUUUCGGGAUUAUAGAAGAUUGAUUAAAACACGAUUUUUAUCUCUUUGGCAUGCAUAGAUCACCUUUGUUUAGAAAGGCCGAGAAACGAGUAGCAAAAUUGACUUAUAAUGAAAGGAAAAUAAUAAUCCCAAUUCUAAAAAUCUCAAAAUUUCCAUCAA
Molecule: RNA transcript, 1526 nt
Organism: Mya arenaria
Lineage: Eukaryota; Metazoa; Mollusca; Bivalvia; Myida; Myidae
Exons: 6
Source: RefSeq, a predicted model, not a curated record